UACGUAGGGUGCAAGCGUUAAUCGGAAUUACUGGGCGUAAAGAGCUCGUAGGCGGUUUUGUAAGUCUGACGUGAAAUCCCCGGGCUCAACCUGGGAAUUGCGUUGGAGACUGCAAGGCUAGAAUCUGGCAGAGGGGGGUAGAAUUCCACGUGUAGCAGUGAAAUGCGUAGAGAUGUGGAGGAACACCGAUGGCGAAGGCAGCCCCCUGGGUCAAGAUUGACGCUCAUGCACGAAAGCGUGGGGAGCAAACAGG
This 253-nucleotide ribosomal RNA is filed under the name uncultured bacterium. RNAcentral's name for it is "partial 16S ribosomal RNA". It matches the Rfam family "Bacterial small subunit ribosomal RNA", at positions 524 to 776 of the family's 1533-position model. The record is from RNAcentral.